RNAcentral lists this ribosomal RNA (392 nucleotides) under uncultured bacterium. Its description in RNAcentral is "partial 16S ribosomal RNA". It matches the Rfam family "Bacterial small subunit ribosomal RNA", at positions 523 to 918 of the family's 1533-position model. The record is from RNAcentral.
AUACGGAGGAUCCGAGCGUUAUCCGGAUUUAUUGGGUUUAAAGGGUGCGCAGGCGGCCAUUUAAGUCAGCGGUUAAAUCGUGGGGCUCAACCCCAUUCUGCCGUUGAUACUGGGUGGCUUGAUUGCGGUCGAGGUUGGCGGAAUUCGGUGUGUAGCGGUGAAAUGCAUAGAUAUGACGAAGAACACCGAUUGCGUAGGCAGCUGACCAGAUCGCAAAUGACGCUCAUGCACGAAAGUGCGGGGAUCGAACAGGAUUAGAUACCCUGGUAGUCCGCACGGUAAACGAUGAAUACUUGUUUUCGGCGAUAUAAUGUCGGAGGCAAAGCGAAAGCGAUAAGUAUUCCACCUGGGGAGUACGCCGGCAACGGUGAAACUCAAAUGAAUUGACGGGG